CGGCACGGGUGAGUAACACGUAUGCAACCUGCCUGCCGACAGCCGGAUAAUCGGGAGAAAUUCCGUCUAAUACGGCAUAAUGCAUCGACGGGACAUCCUGUUGGUGACCAAAGGUUAAUUCCGGUGGCGGAUGGGCAUGCGUCGCAUUAGUUAGUUGGCGGUGUAACGGACCACCAAGACGACGAUGCGUAGGGGUUCUGAGAGGAAGGUCCCCCACACUGGUACUGAGACACGGACCAGACUCCUACGGAAGGCAGCAG
Molecule: ribosomal RNA, 260 nt
Filed under: uncultured bacterium
Lineage: Bacteria
Description: partial 16S ribosomal RNA
Rfam family: Bacterial small subunit ribosomal RNA
Source: RNAcentral